This 775-nucleotide ribosomal RNA is filed under the name uncultured Neocallimastigales. Its description in RNAcentral is "partial large subunit ribosomal RNA". It matches the Rfam family "Eukaryotic large subunit ribosomal RNA", at positions 19 to 621 of the family's 3401-position model. Lineage: Eukaryota; Fungi; Neocallimastigomycota; Neocallimastigomycetes; Neocallimastigales. The record is from RNAcentral.
CGAGCACGCGCGUGUGGCAUAUCAAUAAGCGGAGGAAAAGAAACUAACAAGGAUUCCCUUAGUAACGGCGAGUGAAGCGGGAAGAGCUCAAAUUUGAAAUCUUCAAGGUUCUACCUUGACGAAUUGUAGUUUAUAGAAGUGUUUUCUGUUAGUGGAGUGGCAAAAGUUCUUUGGAAUAGGACAUCAUAGAGGGUGAGAAUCCCGUAUUUGGUCAUUCCUCCUAGCGUUGUGAUACACUUUCAACGAGUCGGAUUGUUUGGGAAUGCAGUCCAAAAUGGGUGGUAAAUUUCAUCUAAAGCUAAAUAUUGGCGAGAGACCGAUAGCGAACAAGUACCGUGAGGGAAAGAUGAAAAGAACUUUGAAAAGAGAGUUAAACAGUACGUGAAAUUGUCAAAAGGGAAGCGUUUGACACCAGUGUUGUUUUUCCGAAAAUCAAUUACGAAUGUUUUAGUUUUUGAGGAGUUAUGACUUCAUCGGCUUGCUCCUUUCUUUAUGAAACUUUCUUAAUGCACUUUUCGGUUAACAAGUCAACAUCAAUUUCUUUUGUUGUAAAAGGGUAUGAGGAAGGUGGCUUUCUUUUCGGAGAAAGUGUUUAUAGCCUUGUGCCUCUACAAUCGGAGAGAUUGAGGUCUGCAGCGUAGAUCCUUCGGGGUUAGAUACGUUUGUGCUAAGUUAUAGCUUUUCAUAGACAACUUGUUGACUAUGUUUAGUCUUGUAGCUUACUCGCUGACGCUAUUUUACCUACGCUUAGGAUGUUGAACUCUAUCACACACAG